RNAcentral lists this transfer RNA (72 nucleotides) under Candidatus Woesearchaeota archaeon. RNAcentral describes it as "tRNA-Gly". It matches the Rfam family "tRNA". Rfam says of the family: Transfer RNA (tRNA) molecules are approximately 80 nucleotides in length. The record is from RNAcentral. Lineage: Archaea; Nanobdellati; Candidatus Woesearchaeota.
GCGCGGGUAGUACAAUGGCUAGUAUUUCGGCCUUCCAAGCCGACGAUCCGGGUUCGAAUCCCGGCUCGCGCA